UCGAUUUUGGUUGAUGGUGGCUUGUUUAAGCUCUUUGUUGGGUGCAGAAUUCUCUCAGGUGGUCCUACAACACUGGUAGCAUCUUAGGAAGUAGAUUGGAGCAAGGAAAGAUCAGCUUGGGAGUUGCUUUCUGGUGCAGCAGAAUCACGCUCUUCACUGGUCAGCACAAUUUCUGGGUGUUGUAACAGUAGUGUAUCCACUUAGCAGCUGUGAGAUUUGACGUGGACUAUCAUAGUUCAAUCCUUUUAGAAAAGCUAAAGUUGCCUACCCCAUUCUUUUACUGUUUUACUUCUGAACUUUGCCAACCAAAGUCUGUCUAGGUUGUAUUACCAUNAAUUUUACCAGUUUUUGAGAGUAAAACAGUUGAGAAAGUAGGAACUGGACUAGCUAAAUUCUGAGUGGAAAGCCAAACAGCUGAGUGGAUAUCAGUUUGAGUGUUUACAACCCAAGAGAAAUUUGCUAAUUAGUUGCAAACAUCCAUUCUGAGAGAAAAGUGAUUUACCAUAUACACUUGGAUUGUACAAUAGGGAGUCUCAGUUCUGUUCAAUGAUUUUGUUUACAAAUUCAAUUCUGGUUUUGGGUAUGUAGUUUCUUUUUGUGCAGACUUGACGAUGGAUGAUGUUCUAUGGCUAUUUGUAAUAGCUUGAAAGGUGGAAAGAAAAAGGAAUUUUACAGCAUCAAGGGCACAAGGUUGAGAAGAAAUCUUUCUUCACAAGCAAUCAGUAUCUCCAUAUCUUCAAGAAACUCAAGGAACCACGCUGCUAGGAACACAUGCAUCUUGUCUGCAUCAGAAAAGUUGGAGAAACCGUGACAGCAACACUUGAGUUUGUUUUUGUUUAUUUUUUAAAAGUUUUUUUUUCUUAUGUAGUUCUUUUAUUUGUAAAAGGCCAUUGAAAGUCCAAGUGGUGUGGGAGAGUCCUUGGUGUUCUUUCAACUCUUGGCAAAACUUUUCUUGUUUGUUUCUUUAAUUUUAGCAUAGCUUAGACUGGUGAGUGUGUCUUGUUAGCAUAAGCUACAAGCCUCACCUUCACCUUAGGAGUAAAAUUUUAUCUUGUUUGUAUGUGAUUUUGUAUUUCGCUUAGGGGCG
Molecule: long non-coding RNA, 1087 nt
Filed under: Vigna radiata
Lineage: Eukaryota; Viridiplantae; Streptophyta; Magnoliopsida; Fabales; Fabaceae
Description: long non-coding RNA (VRAD_LNC016434)
Source: RNAcentral